GACGAACGCUGGCGGCGUGCUUAACACAUGCAAGUCGAACGGAAAGGCCCUGCUUUUGUGGGGUGCUCGAGUGGCGAACGGGUGAGUAACACGUGAGUAACCUGCCCUUGACUUUGGGAUAACUUCAGGAAACUGGGGCUAAUACCGGAUAGGAGCUCCUGCUGCAUGGUGGGGGUUGGAAAGUUUCGGCGGUUGGGGAUGGACUCGCGGCUUAUCAGCUUGUUUGUGUGGUAGUGGCGUACCAAGGCUUUGACGGGUAGCCGGCCUGAGAGGGUGACCGGCCACAUUGGGACUGAGAUACGGCGCAGAAUCCUACGGGCGGCAGCAGUGGAGAAUAUUGCACAAUGGGCGGAAGCCUGAUGCAGCAACGCCGCGUGCGGGAUGACGGCCUUCGGGUUGUAAACCGCUUUCGCCUGUGCCGAAGCGUGAGUGACGGUAAUGAGUCAAGAAGCACCGGCUAACUACGUG
Molecule: ribosomal RNA, 468 nt
Filed under: uncultured bacterium
Lineage: Bacteria
Description: partial 16S ribosomal RNA
Rfam family: Bacterial small subunit ribosomal RNA
Source: RNAcentral